CUUCUGCCACCGAAUACAUUAGCAUGGGAUAAUGGAAUAGGACCCUGUCCUCCUAUUUUGCGUGUUGGUUUUCGAGGACAGGGUAAUGAUUAAUAGGGAUAGUUGGGGGCAUUAAUAUUUAAUUGUCAGAGGUGAAAUUCUUGGAUUUAUGAAAGAUUGACUUCUGCGAAAGCAUCUGCCAAGGAUGUUUUCAUUAAUCAAGAACGAAAGUUAGGGGAUCGAAGACGAUCAGAUACCGUCGUAGUCUUAACCAUAAACGAUGCCGACCAGCGAUUAGGAGACGUUGAAUACAAAACACCACCGUCGGGUCGGCCGUCCUUGGCCGUCGUGCGCGGCGACGCGCGCGGCGGCGAGGGCGGUGUCUGCCCGACGGCCCGGUGAAUGACUCCCCUAG
Molecule: ribosomal RNA, 394 nt
Filed under: Acanthamoeba genotype T15
Lineage: Eukaryota; Discosea; Longamoebia; Acanthamoebidae
Description: SSU rRNA
Rfam family: Eukaryotic small subunit ribosomal RNA
Source: RNAcentral